Molecule: ribosomal RNA, 255 nt
Filed under: Stylochyrus rarior
Lineage: Eukaryota; Metazoa; Arthropoda; Arachnida; Mesostigmata; Ologamasidae
Description: partial 12S ribosomal RNA
Source: RNAcentral
ACUUAAUAGUAAUAAUAGAGGUAAUUAUUAUUUAUGAAUUUAGGUCUAGGUGCAGCUUAUAAAAAGGGUGAAAUGAAUUAUAUUAGUUAGAUUUAGCUAAUUUUUUAAUGAAUUAUAAAAAAUAAGUAAGAUUUAAAAGUAAAUUUAUGAUAAUAUCUUAAUUUGAAAUAAGCCCUGAAGUAUGUACAUAUCGCCCGUCGCUCUCAUGAAUAAUUGAGAUAAGUCGUAACAAAGUAAAUAUACCGGAAGGUGUUU